This 253-nucleotide ribosomal RNA is filed under the name uncultured bacterium. RNAcentral's name for it is "partial 16S ribosomal RNA". It matches the Rfam family "Bacterial small subunit ribosomal RNA", at positions 524 to 776 of the family's 1533-position model. The record is from RNAcentral.
UACGUAGGUGGCAAGCGUUGUCCGGAAUUAUUGGGCGUAAAGCGCGCGCAGGCGGCCUCGCGCGCCCGACGUGAAAGCCCCCGGCUUAACCGGGGAGGGUCGUUGGGGACGGCGGGGCUUGAGGGCGGGAGAGGGUGGUGGAAUUCCCGGUGUAGUGGUGAAAUGCGUAGAGAUCGGGAGGAACACCCGUGGCGAAGGCGGCCACCUGGGCCGACCCUGACGCUGAGGCGCGAAGGCGUGGGGAGCGAACGGG